RNAcentral lists this transfer RNA (72 nucleotides) under Ictidomys tridecemlineatus (thirteen-lined ground squirrel). RNAcentral describes it as "Spermophilus tridecemlineatus (thirteen-lined ground squirrel) tRNA". It matches the Rfam family "tRNA". From Rfam's summary of the family: Transfer RNA (tRNA) molecules are approximately 80 nucleotides in length. Their secondary structure includes four short double-helical elements and three loops (D, anti-codon, and T loops). The record is from Rfam by way of RNAcentral. Lineage: Eukaryota; Metazoa; Chordata; Mammalia; Rodentia; Sciuridae.
GGGGUUGUGGCUCAGAGGUAAAGCACGUGCCUAGCAUGCAUCAGGCACUAGGUUCGAUUCCUGGCAACACGU